AGACCAGAAAUGCCAACAGUUGAGGCCCCUUGUAGUGCAAUUUGUGUCAGUCUUGGGGGAGUGGAUUUGGAGCCCAACCUCCAUUUAGGAAAAUCCAUCUGAUGGACAUGAGCCUCACUCAGGUUCUCAUCUACUUCCCUGGGGUCUGCCCCGCCUCCCUCAGGAGUUUGGAACCACAUACUGUUGUGGAGGGGACCUGUCACUGCUGCCGAACCCAUCCUCCAGGGUAACCACAAGUGUUCCUCUCGGUUGUGGCUAAUUAACUUAUCAUAUGGUAGUGAAUUACCUUCUGGUGGCCCAACAUUUUGUUUAUUUUUUAAAAAUAAAAUUAGUACCAUUGUUUAUUUUGUGAAUGUACAGAAA
Rhinopithecus roxellana (golden snub-nosed monkey) is the source of this 363-nucleotide long non-coding RNA. RefSeq lists it as uncharacterized. Lineage: Eukaryota; Metazoa; Chordata; Mammalia; Primates; Cercopithecidae. The transcript is spliced from 2 exons. The record is from RefSeq and is a predicted model, not a curated record.